GACGAACGCUGGCGGCGUGCCUAACACAUGCAAGUCGAACGGAAAGGCCCUGCUUUUGUGGGGUGCUCGAGUGGCGAACGGGUGAGUAACACGUGAGUAACCUGCCCUUGACUUUGGGAUAACAUCAGGAAACUGGGGCUAAUACCGGAUAGGAGCUCCUGCUGCAUGGUGGGGGUUGGAAAGUUUCGGCGGUUGGGGAUGGACUCGCGGCUUAUGGGCUUGCUGGUGGGGUAGUGGCUUACCAAGGCUUUGACGGGUAGCCGGCCUGAGAGCGUGACCGGGGACAAUGGGACUGAGAGAGGGAGCAGACGGGUACGGGAGGCAGCAGUGGGGAGUAUUACACAGUGGGCGGGAGUGUGAGACGACGGCGUCGGGUUCGUGAAGACCGCUUUUGGGGUGUGAACCGCUGUCGCCUGUGACGAAGCGGGAGUGACGGUACUGGGUAAAGAAGCACCGGCUAACUACGUG
RNAcentral lists this ribosomal RNA (468 nucleotides) under uncultured bacterium. RNAcentral describes it as "partial 16S ribosomal RNA". It matches the Rfam family "Bacterial small subunit ribosomal RNA", at positions 28 to 507 of the family's 1533-position model. The record is from RNAcentral.